GCCCGAAUAGCUCAGCCGGUUAGAGCGCUUGACUGUUAAUCAGGGGGUCGUUGGUUCGAGUCCAACUUCGGGCGCCA
This 77-nucleotide transfer RNA is filed under the name Xylella fastidiosa subsp. multiplex. RNAcentral's name for it is "tRNA-Asn". It matches the Rfam family "tRNA". From Rfam's summary of the family: Transfer RNA (tRNA) molecules are approximately 80 nucleotides in length. Their secondary structure includes four short double-helical elements and three loops (D, anti-codon, and T loops). Further hydrogen bonds mediate the characteristic L-shaped molecular structure. tRNAs have two regions of fundamental functional importance: the anti-codon, which is responsible for specific mRNA codon recognition, and the 3' end, to which the tRNAs corresponding amino acid is attached (by aminoacyl-tRNA synthetases). tRNAs cope with the degeneracy of the genetic code in two manners: having more than one tRNA (with a specific anti-codon) for a particular amino acid; and 'wobble' base-pairing, i.e. permitting non-standard base-pairing at the 3rd anti-codon position. Lineage: Bacteria; Pseudomonadati; Pseudomonadota; Gammaproteobacteria; Lysobacterales; Lysobacteraceae. The record is from RNAcentral.